CUAUGUUCUGACCUCAACUCUUUGUCAGUGAGAAGAUGUAAGUAGUGGUAGAAUGCUGGUGCACAAUACUUGCUUUAUGCUCCAUUGACACCAGUCGCAUCAAAUUUAAUGCUCAACGUCUUGACUUCUCGGCCGUGGAGCAACCGUCAACGUUUUUCUGGAAUUCAUUCAUUGUCACAUCAUAGAUAACAUGGAUGAUGUUGAGCGAGUAGCUUGGGUUUAUAUGGUUUGGCGAGCUUGCGGUUAGGUUCUCCAGAUCAUUCAGAGUCUCUCCCGUUGUAGUGUUCACUCCUGCAGCAGGAGCUACGCCGGACGGCCGAUUUAAACGUAACUUCCGUCUGUCAACCGAGAGGGGAAACAUAAAAAUUAAACUGGAGGAUAUUUUUAUUAUUGUCUUGACGAAAAUAAGAAAAAAAUCAUAACCCCAUGGAGCAAGAGCAAUCGCACCCGCUUUGACGGCACCCACCCAUACAAUGCUGACAGUAUCAAUGCAAGGCACUUUAAUUACUGUGAUAUUUACUAAGUUUCUAAAAGUUGUCUUUGAGUUUAUGUAAGUAUUUUUCAUUUCUGAUGUUAAGUGAAGUUUUUUUUUGUGAACAAUAACUAACUUGCUUGUACUAAAUAGCUGGUGAUAUAAUCUGGCUCCAAAACUUCAAUUUAUUUUUCAAAACCACAGUUUUCUUAAGUAUAAAUACAACAUUUUUUUAAUAUUUCAUUGGUUUUCUCUAAUAGUUUCAGUGAAGAAACUAUGAAGCUUUGUGUACAAACAAACAUGAAGGAGCUGCACUUAUUUGAACGUGAGAGGUCAGAGCACAAACAUGGCAAUGAAAGUCAAAUAAACUAAAUGAAAUACAGAGAGACUCCAGAAAAAAAAUAAGAAACAAGAAACAGAUGCAAAAUCAUUGAUUCUUUCUUUCUUGUAGCUCAAAUAUGCUCUAAUAUUUGCAUAAAUAGCUGCGGGUAACAAAUGCUGAAAUUAUUGUGUGCUCUUUCUGUGUUUAAAACAGAAUAAACUGAUGUAAUUUUACAGAAUAGCCACCAGGUUUGCUUGUGUUAAAAAAUAUUCUCAGCUUUCUGUUAAUAAUUGUGGUAAAAAUGAACAAAGCUGGACUGCAGAAAGGAUGAAAACCCCAGACUCUUAUGGAGCACAGAAGCAUUUCCUGUGAAGCUUGAAGAAGAUUCCUAGUGAAGUUACACAUAUGACUGCAACCCGGGAGAUCAUAAUGUGUUUCUCGCAUCUCGAAGGGAAUACAGUACAGUAUGUCAAUUAUUGAGAUUGAGAAGCCGGUGGGCGUGUUGUUAUAAAGCCACAGCUUGCAGCAUUUACGCCAAACUAAGCCGAUUGCUUCCCAUUGCACACUACAUUGUUCUCAUCUCACUCUAUCGAAAAAAACGAAGAAAUCAGAAACAGUAAACUCCUUUCAGAUUUCUGGAACUAGAGGACAGUUUUAGCCCUGGCAUUGGUGACCGUUAGCAAAUGAUGCACCUUUAAUUAAACUUGGCAGGUUCCUGGCGUCCAUGCAUCACCAUGUUAUGGAGGACAUGGAUGGCUUGGCAGUGGACCCGCAUCGUUUUUAGAGAAAAAAAAAAAAAGCCAGAAUAAAGCCAAAGCGUAAGCACAACAACAGGCUUGAAAAGGAAUGUUACAAAAGACAAGCUGGCAAACAGAUGACGGGGGAAACAAGAGGAGCGUAAUGGAACAGGACCAGGUGAUAUUUUUACUUGUUUCUCAAAUUCCUCUGUUAACUCAGAUGUUUGACUGAAAGAGAGCAGGCAUAAAGACUGAAAAAGCUGCAGCUUAUUAUUAGCGUGCAAUGACAGAUGAGAAGAGAUGCAAUUAGAAUGAGCCAUAUGGAUGAUCAUAUGGUCUUUUUAUAAUUAGCAGUAUUUUAAUAUAGAACAACAACUUGCCUAAAACAAGAGAAAAGAAAGCAAUAGUUGAAUCAUAAAUAACUUUUCUAGAGGAAGACUUAGUUCAGUUAAACAAUGAGAGUAAGUCAUUUUGAUUAUUUACUAGAAAACUCCUAUAUUGAUCGUAUUGUCUAUAUUUAUAUUGAUCUUUUCAUACAGAAUGUUACAUCUUACUCCUGGAGAACCUAUGGGGUCAAAUUUGGUUGAUGUUUAUAUUUUUAUUUUUUAAUAAUUGAUGCUAUCCAAGAUGAACAAACAAACAAACUAAUUUUAAAAGCCCCCAAAAUUCCUCCUGUGCUUUCCAGGGUUAAAGUGUAAUAUCCACACACGUUAUUUAAAAUUAUUAAAAUACAUUAAUUGACAUGAAAUACAACUGCUAUUAAAAUAUAGUGUAAUUACAAUAAUAUUAUACACUACAGUCUAUAUAUAUAUAUAUAUAUAUAUAUAUAUUUCGAAUUGAUUAAUAUGUAAAAAAAAAAAAAAAAAAAAAAGAAGUCUAAGCAGUCUGAGAAAGAUGCCCAAACUUCCCUCUCCCUUGCCACUUCCUCCAACUCCUCUAAGGGACCCCAAGGGCCUUCCCAGGCCAGCCAAGAGACAUAAUCUCUCCAGCAUGUUCUGGGGCCUAGACUCAGUUGGGAAAUGCCCCCAACACCUUCUCAGGGAGGCGCCCAGGAGGCACCUGGACCAGAUACCCGAACCGCCUCCACUGGCUCCUCCUGAUGUGGAGCUCUACUCCGAGAAACUUCGAAUCUCUCACCCCCAUAUGCUAUUUUGACUUAAAAUUCAGCUCAAGACUCUCUUGGAACGGUAGGACUCUAAUGUAGGGCUGGUGGGGGUUUUGGAUCUGUGAGAAUCUGGAGCUGGGUCCUGUCUGGGAGAGGAGAUCUCCUCCAUCAGGUGUUUCUCACAGAGAGCCAAUCAGAAACGGGAUCAGGUCCAAGAACCAGACCUAAAAGACCAGAAAGCCUCAGUAGACUCUCCUCCUUGAAACCUUUGCAGUGUCUCUAAACAUCACAUUAAGAUGGAGGUGAAAACAUGAUGGAAGCCCUUGAUCAUGUGACUAAAGACCUUAUUAAUGUAGCAUCAUGCGUUAAAAAAAAAUCAAAAAGUUCUUAUCAAUGUAAAAUUAAUAGGAAAUCCUACACGUGUAAAAACAUUUGAAAUAUAACAUAACAUUUACAAAUACAAGCGUUUGAAGGCAGCAGUUGUUCUGUUUCUGCUGAAGCUACCACAGCGUGCAACAACUUUUGUAUAAAAAAUGAAUGUACAACAGCAAAAUGUAGUUAAAAGGGAAUUUUAUGUAUGCCACUGGUCCAUCAAGGCUAAAAUUGGUUCAGACGCAGCAUGACUUUCUAUAAUUUUAUAAUAUCAUUGUUGCCCUGAGGGACUCGCCUUUGUAGGAUAGUUUGUACUUUUCACUUGCUAAACAUGAUCUACUUUCACAAGUCUGUCUCUUUUGUGCAGCGCAGCUCCUGCAUCUUUGUGAUCCAUUAAAGGUCACUGCUGCACAAACCGCACUACAGCAGAGAUUUCACGUAACGCUGUCCAAACAUAGACCAUACUUUUUAUCCAUCGUUCGCCUUCUUUCUAAUUCUUCCCAUCUAAUUUUAGGAAAACUCAUUUGAAAUGUUCUGACUGUCAAAUCCUUCAUAAUCACUUUUAUUUACUAUAUUUGGUUUAUGACAUUUUGACUGCAUCAGAGAUUGUGUCACACAACAAAGAUUUUCUGUUCAAACAGUGACGGCGAAAUGAUCGCAGGAUCUAAAAACUGCAUUAUAUGAGGCGAAAACUUUGAUCGUGUAUAAUGGGUUCAUUUGAAGUUCAUUUCAUCUCCUCAUAACACAACUAUGAUUGGAAGCUGUUUUACCUCUGGGGUCAAAUAAAGUUGAUUUAACAGUAUUGACAAAACAUUAGAAAAUGUGAACAGUUGUGUGUUAGAAUAGAAAUGGGCUGUCCUGCUGAUGGAACAUCAGGCGGCUACUGAUGCUGCAGCACCGCCUCGGGGGUACAACCACGCACGACAUGCGUUCAAGCAUGUUUGUGUGGAUCUGAGCUUUGUUUGUGUGAGUGCCCUACAGGAUGGUGUAUCAGUAAUCGUGUCUCCCCGUAUUAUCUGUGCGGCAACACGUGUGUUUGUGAGAGAAAUAUAGGUUGCGUGUUUGUAGAGAUGAAAAACACCAAAAAAAAAAAAAAAGCAAUAGUGGUGUGGAUUGAGCAAAAAGAUGAAACCUCCAGUAAUAUUGGACAUAUUUGAAGAGGAGGAAGAGGAGGAGGGGGUUGAAAGCAAAGAAGAGGAGUAACCUCAGAGGAGUUGCCUCUGCAAAACCAGUUAAGGUUCUUCAUUUUAUACAAUAAAGAAAAUUCUGAUUUAACAAAAUACAAAAUAGUAUAUUUAAAAAAAAGAAGAUUAAUUGGUUGUAUUUCACUCUUUGAAAUUAUGCAAUGUCCUCAUUUUACCACUAGGGUGCAACCUAGUUGAAUAAACUCCUAUUUUCCAUUUUUUAUGAAUUUGUUAGCAGUGCUGCUAACUCAAAUAAAAUACUUUAAAUAUUUAAAGAUUAACCUUUCACCUGGGAUGACUUUUUGAUUUUUAAUCAUUUUUUGUGUGUUUUUUUUUAAACAAAACCAUCUGGAAGCUUUAAGGGAAAAAGCAGGAGGCUGAAAGAAGGAUGUGUACUACACUGACUACCAUUAAUAAACAUCAACUAAUCAGAUGAACAAACCACGGGAGGAGCCAGCUGGUAAAUAACAUUCUUAUCAAAGCCAGACAGAAGGAGAGCAAGAACAUUGCUAUCAAAUAAAGCUCUCCCUGUUGUUCUUUGCUCUUUUUUUCAUUAAAGAAACCACUCUCCUGUUCUGAUCUGCAUUAACCAUCCUGGCUGCCUGUCCCAACAUUCAAGAGCACUUUCAGCUUUAACGGGAUUCAACGGGUCCAAUCUCCUCAGAAUGACGCGCCAUGACAUAAAACUGGAAUCAUCUCAGACUGGUUUCUUGAACCAGUCUCUGGACUCUAAAGGCAAAAAGAGACCCAACGCAGUACCAGCAAGCUGUACCUAAUAAAGUGUCUGUCUGGAGAUAUUCUAUCCUGUGCUAAUGCACGCUGCAUUCUGUUUCACCGGUACAGCGGGAGUCAUCAAAAACUGCAAAGAAACAGGCCACAUUUCUCCCCUAGCCCAGCACUUCUGCAUGUGUCUGCAAGUGUGCGUGUGUGUGCUUGUCUCUUUGUGUGUUUGCUCCUGAUGAGAAGAGCUGCUCAGCAAUAUUUAGUGUUACAGCGACAGAACAGCUUUAGGACAGAACAGAGGCUCACCUUCACAAAAGACCAAAUGAGAGGCGAAAAGCACCGAGAGAUAAGGAGAGAGAAAGGAACACAAACACUCUGACUUUUGAAUCCACUGAUGAAACGUUUCCUUUUAUCAGGUAAGACAAAAUGUUCAGCAGUAAAACCAUCUGGCCUUUUCCCCUACAUCCCCUUAAGAACACAAAACGACUUUAAAACACAUCAUUGUGUGAACAAUCCUUAAGCAGUGUUAAUCAGUGUGUCCACUUAUAUUUGGUCUCUCUACGAAUGAGCUCAAGUGCUAAAAAACUGUGAUGGAACUUUAUAGCACCAACCUAUAGGUGGAGUGUGAGUGUUUCAGAAAUUCACCUCUGAGUUAUAAACAGUACUGAUGACGCAGAGUAAGCCUGAACUCAUUUCCCAUCAUUCUUCUUCCUGCUACAAG
Oryzias melastigma (Indian medaka) is the source of this 5636-nucleotide long non-coding RNA. RefSeq lists it as uncharacterized. Lineage: Eukaryota; Metazoa; Chordata; Actinopteri; Beloniformes; Adrianichthyidae. The transcript has 3 exons. The record is from RefSeq and is a predicted model, not a curated record.